RNAcentral lists this long non-coding RNA (4829 nucleotides) under Ananas comosus (pineapple). Its description in RNAcentral is "long non-coding RNA (ACOM_LNC025516)". Lineage: Eukaryota; Viridiplantae; Streptophyta; Magnoliopsida; Poales; Bromeliaceae. The record is from RNAcentral.
UCAUUAGUUUCUUUGACGUCCUCAAUAACGUAUUAAUACUGCAACAAAAACGGUCUAUAGCGAUAUUUUUAAAUGUCAGUACAGGUCAAAGAAAGUACUGCUGGCUAAAUUACUGAUAUUUUUAAAAAGUAUUGUUAUAUGUGGGGUUGCUAGGUAUAUAGUGACAGUUAAAGAGUGUCGUUAUAACCUAAAAAAGUGCUGCUAAUUUACCAAUACUUAUUUAAACAUUUAGCAACCGUCAGAACUCUAACUCGUUGGCUGCGAUGGCGGAGGAGAACGAGAAGAAGGGAUCUUCGUCUAGGAUUUCAGUCGAUUGAGUGAGGGGAGAAUAGAAAAUGGUAAUCGAUUUUUUUUUUUUUUCUUUUCUAUUUGUAAUCGAGCUGAAUGGGCUGGGUGGGGUGGGUUGAGUAGAGUAACCUUUUAUUUUUGGUUGGAUUAGACUUUAUAUUUAGGUAUUAGUAGAUUUUUUUUUAAGUUUUGAUAUAAAUGGUACACUUACACAAAAGUGUCCCAAACAUGUGUUCCUAUAAUCUAAUUCUGUUGUAGUGUAAUUGUGUAGAAAACUUAUAAAUGUUUUUGACUUAGAAAUAUCUUCGAUUACAUCUUUAAUUACAAGGGGAAAAAAAGUAUGCAAAGUAUCCAAAUUAGAAUGUGAGUAAUUUCCAUUAGAUGUAGGACUUUGAUAUCCAUGUCACAUUCAAAUUCUCCACGUUUUUAUGUCUCUUUCUUGAUGUUAAUAUUUUGACUUUUUACAAAUAUAUAUAGAUUAUGAUAAGGUACAUGAUCUUUUAAUUCAUUAGGUCAUUAAAUUAAUGAUUUGAAAGAGGGAUGCAAAUUAAAUAAAUCAAAUAUAAAAGGAUACAAAUAUUACGCGUAAAAUAGAAAUUAAUGCGAACAAACAAUACAUAAAAGAACCACUAAAAUAUAUUGUUUGCUACGCUAAUUAAUCACUUGCCAAGGGUAUAUAUAUAUAUAUAUAUAUAUAUAUAUAUAUAUAUUUAUAUAUUAUAUAUAUAAUAUAUAUUGUGUAGGGGGUGUUUAGUUAUAUGUAAAAUUUGUAAAAAGUAAUUUUUUAUGGAAAAAAUUCGGUCGAAAUUUUUUUUUUACAUUUUAUAUGUUUUAUAGUUUGUAGAAAAAUAAAUAAUUUUUCAUAUUGAAAAAAAAUUCAUAUUUAUUUAGUUUGUGAAAAAAAAAGAAAAGAAUUUUACACAGCUUUAGUUUUUUUAUUUUUUGCUGAACAUCGGUAAAAACAAAACACUCCAUUUUAUGCCGAAAACAGAAAAUAAAACACCUUCUUUUUUUUCAAAUCUGGAAAAAAACUUUUCAAAAAAAUUUUUAUGGCUAAACAAACACAAAAAAAAAAAAAAAAAAAGCUGAAAACUAUUUCGGUUCGGAAAGAUAAUUUUCGUUUGUUUGAUACGAUGUAAAAUAGUAUUUUUUUAAGGGAUAAUUACCUGUAUACCCCUCAAAACUUCAGAAAUAUCUCAUUUAUCCUUACUUUUGUUUUCUUUCCAAUAUACCCAUAUGUUUCUCUGUUAUUCCAAAAUAUUCCUACAGUUACCACCGUUAAGUUAACUUCGAUUAAACGGGAGUUAAAUAUCUACUUGAGUUAAAAAAAAAAAAAUUUAAAAUUCCUCUUUUAUCGUUAACUUAAGGACAAAUAAGAAAUGUUGGUAAUGAUAGAAGGGUAUAUUUGAAAAGACUAAAAAUCAAAAUAUUUUUUGUACUCCUAACUUAAGGGUAUAAAUAAGAAAAACGGGUGAUGAUGAAAGGGUAUAUAUAUUUGAAAGCGCAAAAUAAUAAUUUCUUACAAAUAACAACUAUCGCUAACCGUUCAUUAAGGAAAUUUAAUUCUGUGGUAUAUUUAAAAUAGUUGGAACGUAAAAAAAAUAUUUUUAAUAUUAGCUAUCUAAGAAGGAUAAAUCAGAAAGUCAGAAAUUUUUCAGAAGUAUAUAAGCAAUGGCCCAUUUCUUAGAAGUAGUUUUGCGGAUUUGAAAAUAUAUAUAUAUAUAUAUAGAUUUUGAAAACGUCUUGGUAAAAAAAAUCACGGCUUAUGAGAAUAACUCGCACGCGGUCCAUAAAGUGACAAUGACGUGGCGGCUCGCGGACUACGUGAGAGAGAUGUGUGUGGACCUAGAUCUCUCGCUCUCUCUUAUGGAUCACUAUUAUAUAAUAUUUUAUUACAUAUUUAUUAUAUAAUAUUAGAUAUAUGGCUAAAUAACAGAAAAUUUUCUUAUCAAUACCCUCUUUUUCACUUUCCCCCGUCAUUCAAAAACAUACACUUUGCCUUUUUGAAAAAUAAGAAAUGUUCACUUUGACCCCUCCGCCGUUAGUAUUCCGUUUAUAUCUUAUUAUUAUAUAUUUUUAUAUCUAAAAUACCUUCUUCUUUCUGUUGUCUCUUUCCUCGCCGCCCUACACCGCCGCCUCGCCCUUGCCCACCCCUCCAUUCGCGUCCACACACAUGCUUUCGUGCUCUUUCGCCGCCUCACCCUCGCCCUCGCACCCCUCUCCAUCCAUGCCCACUUCAAUCUCCUUCCUAUCGUCGCCGAAAUAGAGGGGCAACACCAGAGCAGGAAGAGCGGGGGAGCAUGUGGAGGAAAAUGGAGUUCUCAUUUUUCAAGGGGGCAAAGUGUAGGUUUUUAAUUAAAUGACAGGGGGAAAGUGAAAAAGCGAGUAUUGAUAUGGGGGUUUUCUGAAAUUUAUGCUAUAUACGAUUAUAUAUUAUUACAUACCUUACAAUAUAUUUUUAUAUAUGUUUAAUUCAUAAUAUAAAUUACGAUAAUACUGUAUAUAUAGAGAGAGAGAGAAUCGGGCUACUAUACUCUUAUGAGUACGAUCAUUUUCGUAAUCGUUUACGAUAAUAGAGCUUUCGAAUUUACGAUCUAUACCGCUAAACGUUAUCUAGAGUAUUUAAAAUUUUUAGAAAUUAAAUUUUAUAAUUUUUCGACAUCAUUUAUCUUGCGAUAAAAAAGUUACAAAAAUUGAUAAUUUUUAACGGCCAGUAUGAGAUACUUACAAGUUUAAUGGUGCAAAAGAAUCGGAAACAGUUUAAAUUUUUAAUAAAAAAUUCUAUUCACUGCCUAGAUAAAGAUCAAUAACUUCGAUCUUAAAUUAAAGAAUUAGAUCAUCUAUUUUUAGAACGUCAUUCGAUUUUGACUGUUUAUUUUAUUCUCGCUUGAUGGUUUUUAUUAUGAUUUAAAAAAAUUACAAAAUUUAUUAUUUAGAAGUUUCAAAUACUCUACAUCAUAUCUAAUAGAGUGGUUUCGAAAACUCCACCAUUGAAGAAAACAACUUAUAAAUACGAAGGAUUCUAUACUCAUAUAAGAGUAUAGUAGUCUUACUCUCUCUCUCUCUAUAUAUAUAUAGUAUGAUAAUAAUUAUAUAUAAAUAAUAUUCAAUACAUACAACAAAAGAGAAAUAUAUAAAACAGUUUCUCAUUCAUUUUUCCUUUUGAUUAAUUAAACAAGUAUAGCUCGAAAAUUAUAUAUACUUUUUCUAAAAACCAAAUGUUAAAGAGCGUAAACUUAUUUUUCACCAAAAUUUUUUAUCACUAAAUUUUUUUUUUAUAAUUUUGUAUAAAACCAAACAGCCGCAAUUGCACAAAUCUUUUGGAGUGUAAAUCGUAUAUCUCCACCAUCUAGAUUUAAGUUUUUUCGUGAGUCACAUCAAUGUGACUAGGGAGAUUAUUAAUCCUUUUCCUAGAAUUGGUAGGUUAUAUAAUUUAUACUCGUUUUGGAUUGUAUAGAUUAGUAUUCUUAUUUAAAAUAUAUAUACUUGUAUGCUAUAUGUACACCCCUAUGCAUAUAUAUUUUAGUGAAAAUACUAGUGCAUGAAUAUAAGGGACAAAAAUUAUGUGAAAAGCUAACCAAAUUAGUUUGUUUGGGGCCGCUCAAAAAUUGGAUUCGUGAGAAAUUGUUCUGUGCACCUGGUGCACCAUUAUUAUUCUUAAAAUCUAGGAUUUUAGGAAUUUAGGAUUUAAAUAUUAUAAAAUAUAUAUUAAUUUUAUUAACUUGUAAUUAAAAAAAAAAAAAUCUUAAACUUCAGGAUUUAGGGGUUUAGAGUGAAAGAUGUAGAAUAAAAAUAUUACAUAAUAUAUCGCUAUAUUAAAUUACAAUUUUGAUGGGCGUGGCGUAGCUAGGGUGCCACAUGGCGUCCAUCCAGGCGAUUCCAAACAAAAUGUUUUGGGACUGCUCCUCAGAAAAUUUGCAUAUUCAACACUGCGUUUCACGUCGGGAUUCGAAACAUUUUUUUGAUAGAUACAGGACGUGAAUGUAAUUAAAAAAAAAAUAGAAGUCCGGCGACACUGCAGCAAAAACGGUCUAUAGCGACACUUUUAAAUAUAGGUACAUGUCAAAAAAGUGCUGCUAGCUAAAAUUACCGACACUUUUAAAAAUUGUUGCUAUAUGUGGGGUCGUUAGGUAUAUAGUGACAGUUAAAGAGUGUCGCUAUAACCUAAAAGAGUGAUGCUAAUUUACCAAUAACUUAUUUAAGCAUUUAGCAAGCGCCGAAACUCUAUCUCGUUGGCUGCGGUGGCGGAGGAGGACGACAGGAAUGGCUCUUCGUCUAGAAUUUCAGUGGAUUUAGUGAAGAGAGAAGAAAAUAUGGUAAUUGAUUUUUCUUUUUUUUUUUCUUUUCUGUUUGUAAUCGGGCCAAAUGGACUGGGUGUGGUGGGUUGAGUAGAGUAAUCUUUUAUUUUUGGUUGGAUUGGGCUUUAUAUUUAGGUAUUAGUAGAUAUUUUUUUAAGUUUUAGUAUAAAUAGGACACUUACUCAAAAGUGUCCCAAACAUGUGUUUCUAUAACCUAAUUCUGUUGUAGUGCGAAAUUCAAAC